CACCCUGAUCGUAUCUAGGUUCUAACCUGGUACCGUAAUCCGGUGCGGGGACAGUGUCAGGUGGGCAGUUUGACUGGGGCGGUCGCCUCCUAAAGAGUAACGGAGGCGCCCAAAGGUUCCCUCAGAAUGGUUGGAAAUCAUUCGAAGAGUGCAAAGGCAUAAGGGAGCUUGACUGCGAGACCUACAAGUCGAGCAGGGACGAAAGUCGGGCUUAGUGAUCCGGUGGUACCGCAUGGAAGGGCCAUCGCUCAACGGAUAAAAGCUACCCUGGGGAUAACAGGCUUAUCUCCCCCAAGAGUCCACAUCGACGGGGAGGUUUGGCACCUCGAUGUCGGCUCAUCGCAUCCUGGGGCUGAAGUAGGUCCCAAGGGUUGGGCUGUUCGCCCAUUAAAGCGGUACGCGAGCUGGGUUCAGAACGUCGUGAGACAGUUCGGUCCCUAUCUGUCGUGGGCGUAGGAAAUUUGAGAGGAGCUGUCCUUAGUACGAGAGGACCGGGAUGGACGUACCGCUGGUGUACCAGUUGUUCCGCCAGGAGCACCGCUGGGUAGCUAUGUACGGAAGGGAUAAGCGCUGAAAGCAUCUAAGCGUGAAGCCCCCCUCAAGAUGAGAUUUCCCAGUAUGUAAGACCCCUUGAAGACGACGAGGUAGAUAGGCUGGGGGUGGAAGUGCAGCAAUGCAUGGAGCUGACCAGUACUAAUCGGUCGAGGGCUUAUCC
RNAcentral lists this ribosomal RNA (715 nucleotides) under Salmonella enterica. Its description in RNAcentral is "partial 23S ribosomal RNA". It matches the Rfam family "Bacterial large subunit ribosomal RNA", at positions 2201 to 2925 of the family's 2925-position model. Lineage: Bacteria; Pseudomonadati; Pseudomonadota; Gammaproteobacteria; Enterobacterales; Enterobacteriaceae. The record is from RNAcentral.